GGUGAGUAGCAGGCGUUCUGAAGAACAUAGGAGUCUCUAUGUGUUCAGCACGUUAGACCAAUACCAAUAGUUAUCAUGUUUCCUCAAAGGGAUAGUCCUUCACUGGUAGAAAUAUAGGAUGGUGUGAUGGCAAUACACUGCAUUUUGCACAUUCAUGGAGUUUUCAAAUCCCAUUAUGCUUGUAACAUUCAAGCUCUUCAAUUAUUCUUGUCCACAGCACUUGAGAAUGAACUGGAUGCGUUGAUUGCCACAAUCGAGGAGAAGAACAAUGGCAACUGUAAACAGAUUCUUCAGAUCAUUGCACUCCAAAAUCAAGUGACAAGAUUGCAGAGGCAAGAGUUAGAGUUCAAUCAGUCAUCUGAGGCCAAGAUUGCUGAGCUAGAGAAUCAGCUACAGGAGACGAGAGACCAGCUGAAUGAAAAGAAAGACGAGCUGAAAGAAACUGACAGUAGAAUUCCACA
RNAcentral lists this long non-coding RNA (461 nucleotides) under Salmo salar (Atlantic salmon). RNAcentral describes it as "lncRNA (ENSSSAG00000098918.1)". The record is from RNAcentral. Lineage: Eukaryota; Metazoa; Chordata; Actinopteri; Salmoniformes; Salmonidae.